Molecule: long non-coding RNA, 14488 nt
Filed under: Populus trichocarpa (black cottonwood)
Lineage: Eukaryota; Viridiplantae; Streptophyta; Magnoliopsida; Malpighiales; Salicaceae
Description: long non-coding RNA (PTRI_LNC003823)
Source: RNAcentral
CUCAGACAAGUACAUUUUUGAAAGAGCUCAUGCCUCCUAACAUUAUUCUUGUUCAUGGAGAAGCCAAUGAAAUGGGAAGGCUCAAACAGAAACUUAUCACAGAGUUUGCUGAUGGCAAUACCAAGAUAAUCACCCCAAAGAAUUGCCAGUCUGUUGAGAUGUAUUUCAACUCUGAAAAAAUGGCAAAAACCAUUGGAAAGCUGGCUGAAAGGACCCCGGAUGUUGGUGAAACUGUCAGUGGUAUACUGGUGAAGAAGGGCUUCACUUAUCAAAUCAUGGCACCUGGAGAUCUCCAUGUCUUCUCACAACUAUCAACUGGAAAUAUUACUCAGAGGAUUACCAUUCCUUUUUCCGGUGCAUUUGGUGUGAUAAAGCACAGGCUUGAGCAGAUUUAUGAGAGUGUGGAGUCUGGAACUGACGAGGAGUCUGGGUUUCCAACAUUGCAAGUGCAUGAGCUGGUAACAGUGAAACAAGAGUCUGAUAGACAUAUUUCACUUCAUUGGACUGCUGACCCCAUAAGUGAUAUGGUGUCUGAUUCAAUUGUAGCUUUGGUUUUGAACAUCAGCCGGGAGGUUCCUAAGGUAAUUGUCGAGUCAGAGGACAUAAAAUCUGAGGAAGAAAAUGAGAAAAAAGCAGAGAAAGUGAUUUAUGCCCUCCUUGUUUCACUUUUUGGAGAUGUGAAACUUGGAGAGAACGGGAAGCUGGUCUUACGUGUUGAUGGGAAUGUGGCAGAGCUUGACAAACAGAGUGGGGAUGUUGAGAGUGAGAAUGAAGGUCUCAAGGAACGAGUUAGGACAGCAUUUAGGCGAAUACGAAGUGCUGUGAGGCCAAUCCCGCUCCCGCUCCCUGCACCUGCAUCUUAGCUUUUCUCUUUCCUUUUCCUUCUUGUUUCAACAUGUUUCUGACCUUCGAGAAUAGAUUUUGUUUCUAUUGAGCACUAAUUUCUAAUUUAUCCUCUGUUUCCGUAGUAAUUUUAUGUUUGAAUGCAUCCUGCCUUGAGGUUGCCUCUUAUUUUAGUCUCGUGCCUCAAUGAUUUUGCUCAUUGCUGUAGUUUGGACUUAUCCUACCAAGGGAUAGUUCGAUUUCAAAUUAGUGCCUUAAAAAAUCAGUGUCUAAAAAUAUAAUUGAAUAUUUGCUGCAUGCAAGUUGUAAAUAGUCAGAUUUCUAACCCUUUUUUCCAUGCGAGAAUUGCUGUCGUGACUUGAUUGUAAUCUUGAAGUGCAGGACUAAUUGCUAGUUCAGUUGAUUUUAUUCUUGAAAUGCAGGAUUAAUUGCUUGUUCAGUCAGAUUAUAAAUCCGCGCUUCAAAAAAAUCAGUUUCUAAUAAUAUGAUUGAAUGUUGGUUGCAUACAAGUUGUAAAUAGUCAAAUUUGUAACCAUUGUUUCCAUGCGAGUGUUGCUAUCAUUACUUGAUUUAAUUCUUGAAGUUCAAUUGACCGUUUAAUUUAUGGGAUUGAUUGCAAUCAUAGUUAUUAAACCCGGUUCGGGAGUUGACUCGGCCAAAGAGCCGGGUCCCGGGUUUUAUGGGUUGACCCGGGUUAACCCAGGUCAACCCAUAAAACCCAUGUUAUUUAUGGGGUCAGGUGAUUAAAGAAAGAAAUGGAAAAGGAAAGCAAUUAUAAAGAGGUGAAGUGGGACCCAAUGUGGCAGGGCAUAGGCAUGGGAGAGGGUGACGUUAUUGGUUGUUGGUUGUUUUGUGCAGAGAUCUCUUAAUCUCAUCACCAUCUCCUCCUACCCUCUCUGGCUCCUUGACAUGCUUUCCCCUGGGGUGAAGCACAGUCCUUGCUCCUUACGCACCCAUGCUCUAAAGCUUAAAAACACCACACGAAUCCUCUUUCUUUUACAUCUUUUCCCUGCAAAUUCCUCUGGUUUCUACAUGCUUGAAAACAUUAGCUAGAGAGAGAGAGAUAUGUUAAAGACUUGACGGUGAUAAGAAAGCCUGUGAUGCUGGUAUUGUACCUAUUGCCUCACUUUCUCUUGAAAUUGCGAGUUUCGUCCAGUUUAAUCUUCAAUUUUCUUCAGGUUACAGUCAUCAAUCGUCAGGCCAGAAAGAAGAAAUGGAACCCAAUGCCAACCCUCAAGAUCUCCAAACCCAGAUCGACCUGCAAUCAUAUCAAGCGAACCACCUCCAAAACGCCGGGUCUCAUCCGGGUUCGCCCGGGUCAUGGGUCGACCCGCUGGGUCGACCGGGUUUUGCCGGGUUGUUGCACCGGCCGGUCUUUUGACAAACCCGGACCGGUCUAGCCACCGGGUCGACCCGCCGGGCCGGUCCGAGUUUAAUAACUAUGAUUGCAACAUCUUUGGUAAUAGGAAUUUGUGAUUGGGUGAUUUUACCAGAGAGAGAGAAAAAAGCAACACCAUUGACGGUGAAUCAGUGGUGGAGAAGAAACACGUGUUAUCUGGUCAGGUAGGCACCACUUAGAGGAGUCCUUGGAAGCUACUAUAUGGUCAUAUAUCUUGGCUGCGCAUGCUGCCAAAAUUUUCUGGAGCCCCCAUACACCUCUAGUUUAAUAAUUUAAAUAAUAUUAUAUAAUUAGUAAAAAAUGCAACAACUCUUUUCUUAAUUCGAUAAUUAAAAAAAAAAAGAGCAAAAGCAAAAUACAUAAAUAUCAUUGCACAUUUGAAUUUUUUUUUUUUUGUCUUCAAGAGGUAAGUUCAUGAAUUCAUUGUAUAAUUAAAGCUGAAAUGCUAAAAAUACCUCCAAGUGAUAGGUAUAUAUCAUUUUUCUGUAAGGGUAAAAAAACUAUUAUAUUGUGCUAAAAAAUUAUGUGAAGACCAAUCCUCCGUCAAUGAAUUCAGCAAUGCCAAUUGAAUCCCCGUGAAAAUAUAAAACGCCCUCAAAAGCAACAUCUUUAAGUUUUGUGAAGAAGAGCUUAACAUUAUUACAAUCUACAAUCUACAGUGCUAUAAAUCUAAGUCCACGGUUAAAUAUUGAUGCCUUUUAGUUUUUUUUUUGUAAUGAUUUAAUUAUCACAUUCUAUUUUGUAUUUUAUUUUCCUAAGAUUUUGAUAUGAUUUGUAUGAUUUGAUAUUUACGGGGAGGGAUUUAAACUUUCCUAUUUUUAUGGUCAAUCGGAAUAUUAGCUUGCCUUUAAAUAGUUAAAUUUAUGAAUGCAUCCAAUAGUGUGCAUGAUAAUACACACACCUAGAUAAUGUUUUCUCAUGGUUCAAGGUGUCACAUUAUUCCUUUUUUUUUUUUGACAUAGUUAGCUCUAGCAUGAGCAUCAACAAGCUAUAGUGAGCUGGAUUUCUAUCCAAAGAGUUUAAUGAAGAAGAACAGUAACGUAUAGUAUGCUAUCCAAUGGUAGUAAUGAGUUAAAAGAGAGAGAAGAAAGAGGAAGAAAGAGACGAGAGAGGAGGGAGAGAAAGAAACUAAUUUCAUCAUAAUUUUUUCCAGCAAAAAAUGUUGUUACAUAUAAGGUACCGUUGUCUAACAAUACUAUUCCUUUAAUCUAGGCCAACCUGUGGCAACAAUUAUAACUAAUAAAUAAAAAUAAAACGCUACAUUGAAGAUGGGAUAAAUGAAACUUAAAAUAAGGACAAAACAUUGUGUUGAAAUGGGUAAGUGAAAUGCUAUGUUUUCCUUUGUUUUUUUAAUUAAAAUUAUAAUGAUUAUUUUUUUUGAAUCAAUCAACUCUAAUUCCCUUUUUUUUUUUGCGUCUUCUUUUUUCAAUAAUGCACAUAACAAUUUUUCAGUAAUCAAUCAACCCUAACUCUUUUUUUUCGGCAUCUUCUUUCUUCAGUAAUGCACAUAACAAUUCUCCCUUCAUAAAAAUACUUUUGUUCUCAAGGGGAAAUGUUGGAAACCUCAGAGAGAACUCUUCAAGGAACUCCUAUAUGGCUUCAACUGGAGGUGAAUUCUUCCAUAAGAUCAGGACCUGAGUGGUUGCACGAUUGUGAUGCUUCACCAUUCUUCUAUUCAAUAUUGCUUAAGGUUAGGGUGUUAGGCUAUCAUGUAGUUUAGGUAAAUCAUCGUAUAUUCUUUUACACCCCACAUGCUUCUUUAAUUGUGAUACAUGGAAAACUGGGUGAAUUAUGGCAAUAGGAGUAGGCAUAGUUUGUAAGCCAUUGUCCCAAUACGUUCAAUUACCUGAUAUGGACCAUAGAAUUUAGGUGAUAUUUUGUGUGAUUCUCUUGUAAUCACUUACCUCUGUUUGUACAAUUAUAGUUUAAGAUAAACCCCCUUACCUACAACAAACAUCCUUUCAUUUAUUUUUUUGUUAGCCUAUUGGAUCAUCCUAUAUUGUGCCACCUUGAGAUUAGUUUUGAUAGAUUUCAACAUGUUUUUCUUUUAUAUGAGAAGUGCAUCCACAACUUCAAUAUUAGAAUCCUUUAGCAAGUAAAUAAUAUGAAUAGAAGGCAUAUGACCGUAAAGUAUUUCAUAUAGUGUAGAUUUAAUAGAAGUAUGAUAAUGUGUAUUGUACCACUAUUCAACUAAGGAUAACUAUGUGGACCAUUGACUAGGAUUAACACCUAACAUGCACCUCAAGUAGUUUUCUAGGCAUUUAUUGGUUGCUUCUGUUUGCCUAUUAAUCUGGGAUGAUAUGUAGUAAAGAAAUACAAUUCAACCCCUUAUUGGGCAAAUAGAUGCUUCCAAAACUGACUUAGAAACACCGGGUCCCUGUCACUGAUACAACCAUAUUAUUUGAUAGUUUUACCCAUAUUUACCUAGUAUUUUACCUAUGUUUUAUAUAUAAAAUACCUUGAUAUUAUUUGUUUUAUGUUUUGAAGGCACUUUUAGAUGUAAGAUUAAAAAAGAAAUAAAUUGGAGACAAUUCAGAUCAUGUUUCAGCCCGUGUCGAACAUUGACAGAUUGAUCUCCGAUCGAUGUUUUGUGCAGAGCUUGAGCUCUAGAGGUCGAAAUGAAGUGAUUAUAGUGGCAUUAAAAAGAUAACAUCCAUACUUUUAUAUACAUAUAUGGCAAGAAAAAUAAAAAAAGAAAGAGCAUGAAAAUUGCAGUUUUUAAAGACAAAUCUUGCAUUCGGCCAUUUCGACUUGAAUAUCUUGAGUUAGAGAAGUCCAUUUGAUACAAACUCAAUUGUUUUGGAUUUUUGACUCGAAGACCUACUAGCCUACCAAGUUUUAGUAGAAAAAAGAGCUCAUAUGAGGGCGAUAUGAUUUUUUUAAGACGACUCAUAAAUUCUACCAGCAGACAGGUUUUGUGAAAAAACAAGUCCAAUUUACUUCCCAAACGUUCAAACCGACAUCCAAAUAUUUAUUUGGGAAAUUUAACUUCUCUAAGUUCAAAUUCAAAGCUUGAAGAUUUUAUGCAAGACUAUUUCUUUUUUUUUUAUAUAGAAAAAUAGUUAUUGCAUUACUUAAAUGUAAAUUGUCUACUUAGAAAAUAAUUAUUUUAUAGGGAAGUAGGGAUUAGAGUUUCCUAUCAAAUAAAAAAAAAGAGAGAAAGGAAGGGAGGGGCGACCAAAAAGAGAAGAAAAACUCCACCCUUUCCUUCUAUACCUGAAAUCAUGUAUUCAUCUUUUCUCUUAAUUAUUUUUUGAUAGAUAUGUAAGGUUAAGUUCUUUUUCUUAGUUGCAAGGACAUAAAAACCUUCGGAUUUCAAGAAUUGUGAGAUCUAUUUUACAUUUUCUUUCCAGUUUAUAUGAUGAGUAUGCUUGUUUUUCUAUGCUUAUUUCCUAUAAUUGCUUAGUUUGAUUAUUAGAGCGAACUCUAAGUUAUUAUUCUAACGAAUCUAUUGCUAAAUUUGCUAUUAAAACUGGAGUUAUGAUAUCUAAAUUUAUGAAGCAACUAAGUUUAAUAAUUUUGAAAAAUCUAUGUUAUUAAUCUUAGAAAAAAUAUUCGAUCAAAUCAAACAUAGACUACAGACAGUUAUGUUGUCUAGAUUUAUCAACCUAUCUAGUUCUUAAGGUUGCCAUUGAAUUAAAUUACUAGUGCGGACACUGUGGUGAUUUAAUGGUUAUGGUUAGUUACACUGCAGACCGGUUAACUAACUAAUGUUAAGAAAAGAUAAAUAUUCAGAAUAUAAAUUGACGUAUCGUUUCAAUGAUCAGUUUUUAUUUAUGUAGAUAGACGUUUACUUGAGACCAAUGUUUUCUCUCUUGAUAAGUUUAAGAUUCAUUUAAUUUAGCUUGAUUGUUUUAUUCAGUUUACCAUAGCAUGACCUAUAUAACCUCACCCCCUCCCAAUUUCAUAUCAUCUAGCAUAAAAACCUGAAAUAGAUCUUCCGCGUGGGAUCAAUCGUUUACUUGCUCUAUAAUAUCUUGUUUAUUUAAGCUAGGGUAAUUAAUUUGUGUGACCGCGAUAUCGUAACAGUCAAAUCAUAGAUGAAAACCCAUGUAAUUUAUACACAUUUUCAUGAAAAGAGUAGCCACAAUAACAACAAAAUGAGGGUGUGUGCUAUGGCUAUGAAAUGAACACACUUACCAAAUCUAUCCACCAUCACAUAAAUAACAUCCUUACCAUUAGACUUAAGGAGGCCUUCAAUAAAAUCCAUGUUUAUGUCAUUAAAAGGAGCUUGUGGAAUAGGAAGGGGUUGCAGUAAUAUUAGGCUGAGGACAUUCUUUGUUUUGUUCCUUUGGCAUACACUGCAUUCCUUCAUAUACUGCCUGAUGUGUUUAUGUUGCCUUUCCCAAUAAAAUAAACUCCCAACUCUUUUAACAGUAGCACUAACCCUAGAGUGACCCCUUAUAGAUGAAUCACAAUAGAUGUCAAUAAGUUUUUUUUGUAGCCCAAGAUCAUAACUAACUACUAUUUUACCUUUCAUGUUUAGGUGUCCAUUCUCCUAUUUAUAGUAAGGGUGAGAGUUGAGAUCCUUACAUAUAUCCUGAAUGAUCUCUUGUGUAUUUCUAUCCUUUUUUUAUGAUGCUUUAAUCUGAUUGAUUAGGGUGGUAAAAAAUGAUAAUACUGCUAUAGUAAACAUUUAUUCUUUAAGAUUCCUAGAUAAGGUAUCAGAAUCAAAGUUAUCUUUGCUCUUAUUGUAUUCAAUUUCAAAAUCCAAGCCCAAUAGUUUGGAAAUCUAUAAGUGUUGAGAAGGGAAUGUGAUCUUUUGUUCUAUUAGAUACUUCAAACUGACAUCAUCUAUUCGAACCUUGAAAUUCCUGCCCCAUAGGUAGUGUCUCUAUUUAAAGAUUGCAUAAAGUAUAGCCAUCAUUUCUUUUUUGUAGGUAGACAGAAUUUGUUGUCUUAAACCCAGAGAUUUGCUAAUGUAGUUGAAUAAUGUCCUUCUUGCAUCAACACUACCCCAAUUCCACUUCCCGAAGCAUCUGUUUCUAUAACAAACACCUUGUUUAAGUAAGGCAAGGCCAAGACUGGAGGCUGAUUCAUUAACUCUUUUAGCUUCUUAAAAGCUUUUAUGUUCUACAUAAAUGCAUCAUUCCUUAUCAACUGUGUCAAUGGUUUAUAAAUUAACCUAUAACCCUUGACAAAUUUCUUGUAAUAGCCAACAAGGACAAGAAAACUACGCAAUUGCUUGAUAUUUCAAGGUUCAGGCUAAUCAACUAUUGUCUUGAUCUUUUAGGGUCAGUAAAAAAUCCAUCUUUAGUUAUUAUAAAUCAUAAAUUUUAUUAGGUACUUCUUGAAUACUUGAUUCAUCAAACUUUGUAGUAGGGACAUUACCAGAAACUCAUAAUAUCUAUUAUGAGUCUUGAAUGCUAUUUUAAAAACAUCUUAUCUUACCAUUCUAACCUAAUAAUAACCAGAUCUCAUAUCCACCUUGGAAAACACUAUUAUACCAACCGACUCUUCUAAUAGUUCAUCUACUAAGAGUAUAAGGAGCUUGUCCUUAAUGGUUAGUUUAUUAAGGUUCUAUAUGUAAGGCCCGACCCACUCCCCCUUGCAGAAUAUUGUCCGCUAUGGCUCAGCCCAACCCGGCUUUCACGCCUCACGGUUUUGUUCCUGGCAGCCCACAGGCCCAAAAACGCGUCCUACAAGGUUAGGUACCAACUGCCUUAAUAUGCCAUGGCUCUAGACACUCUUCUUUCGAUGUGGGAUGUUACACUAUAGUUAACACAAAGCCUUUAUGAACCAUUCUUUUUCUUAACCAAGAUCACUAGAGAAGCAAAUGGAUGGUUGCUAGGCUAAAUAAUUCCUGAUUCCAAUACAAACCUCUUUUCCAUGUUAUUUUAAUUCUUUUUUUUUUUUAAUUUUUUGACUACUAUUUUUUUGUGUUAUUUUACUCUGUCCAUUUGGUAAAAGAGAGAAAAAAGAAAUAAAAGAAAAAGAAAAAAGAAAGCACUCUCUAACACAUUUUAGGUAGUCACCGUCCACCAAAACGUCUCCUCCAGCCUCCUUCCCUUCCAGAAGCCGGAAUCACGACCGCGCCACCAGUAACCGCAACUGCUGCAACCGAUGACAUGUGCUCUAAACGAGCCAAGGAUAUCUUGUCCAUAGAAGCACAACAACGUGAAGCUAUAAUGGGUUUGAAAGACGCAAAAGAGAGGAGUCGAAGGUCAUAAAAGUAGGAGUUUGGUAUAUACUUGUCUUCUAACAAUACUAAUAUAGGUACAUGUAUAGGUAUGUUAUCUCUCUUUGCUUGCUGCUGCUACUCUUUCUCUUGGUUUAUUUGGGAGAAAUUAAAAAAUAGUUUUCUUUUUCUGAAUCUUACAUGCUAGUAUAAUAAAACAUUUAUAGGUAGAUUAACUGAAUCACUAAUGUGUUUAGUACAAAAUUGUUUUUUUUUUUUUUAUAGAAACCAAACAGACUGCUGUUUUAGGUUAACUUCAGCUGUAAGUUGUGUGACAGGAUGCGUACUUCUUAAAUUGUUCUUUUUAUUUUUUAUUUUUGGAUUAGUAGCUUUGCUCCUUUUUUUUUUCUAUGAGAUGUGGUAAAUUAGAUUUUGCAAGAUUGCAUAUGGCUGACACCAACAUGACCAAAAAGGGUCGCCGAAACUGUACAUGAGAAGGGCGGGUUCAAUGUAGUAGUAGGUCAAGUAUCAAUGAUAAGAACAUAUAAGUUCAUAUGUUAUUAAUGUAGAUUUCCUAAGCGUUUAGUAUUGUGGUAAAGAUUGUUUUUUAAAUUAUGUUUUUAUUGGAAAUGCAUUAAAAUAAUUUUUUUUAAAUUUUUUUAACAUUUAAGUACAUCAAAAUAAUUUUAAAACAAAAAAAAAAUUUAAAAAAAUUUUAAACUUUUUUUAAAAAACAUGGCCUAUGGCGUUGCCAAACACAAAUUUAAAAGAGUGUUUGGGAACGCGGUGCAAACUAUGUUCCCUAAAAAUUCAAAAAAAAUCUUUUUUUUGGUUAAAGAUUAAAUUUUUUUGUGUGUUUUGAAUCAUUUUGAUGCGCUGAUCUCAAUAAUAUUUUUUUUAAAAUUAAAAAAACAUCAUUUUAAUUUAUUUUAACACGAAAAAUAUUUUAAAAAACAACUACAAUCACAAUUCCAAAGAGAUCCGGUUUUUAAAGUCAUCUUAUCUGUUUGAAUCAACCGUGUCUUAUCUCAUCUCUCUCUCUUUCCCCUUUGUCAUGUGACUACUUAGGACUUGAACAUAGGCCGAGCUAACCAUGAUUGGUGUAUUUUAAUUUGAUCCAUUAAUUAAAUCUUCAAGUAAAAGCAAAGAAAACCCCUUGAAACAGUGUCUCUGAUGUAGCGGAACUCCCAUAUCCACCUUAUAAUUUUAAAAAAGUUCGAGCUUGAAGCAUAAUCCCUAUAAACAUUAUAAGCUUUAUAUCAACUUCUGUAAGUUGUAUUCUCUUAUUUUAUAUAAUCAUUACAAAUCAGAAGCUGAGUGGGUUUAGCUGUAUAGGAGUUUUUCUACAGAGACAUAAAUACAGUUUGGUUUUCGGGCAGCUGAAGAACACAAGAAUGGCAUCAACAGGGCAAUCACAGUCACUAAAAAGAAGGGAUGCACCAGUAACAAGAGAAGGAGGGGAUCAGCUAACUCUAACCCCUUUAGGUGCUGGAAAUGAAGUGGGUCGAUCCUGUGUUUACAUGUCAUUUAAAGGCAAGACAGUAUUGGUAUUGCUUCCCUCCCUCCUUCCCUCUAUGCAUUUUGUUGUUUUUCAAUUAUGCCAUUUUAUACUAAUUUACUAUUGGUAAUUCUUGAUCAUGCUGGAUCAAAUUCAAUGAAUGUAUUUUGUUUAUUAAUUUAUGUUUUUGUUGUCGAAUUAUGCCUAUGUUAGUUUGAUUGUGGAAUUCAUCUGGCUUAUUCGGGUAUGGCUGCUUUGCCUUACUUCGAUGAGAUUGACCCUUCCACUAUUGAUGUACUUCUCGUUACACAGUAUGUAUUUCUUCACCUUCUCUUGCUAAGUCUCCUUGCUUGGCUAUUGUAUAUAUGUAUAUUGAUUUUCCAUUCCAUGAGGCAAUAUUUUGUUUCUCACUAUUAGUUUCGUAAAUGCUAGUUUUUUCUCUCACUGAAUGCUCCCUUGAUUUGACCUUGCUUGCUUUUUUGUUUGUUCAUUUUCUUGUCAAAAGAAUACUUUGAAGAGAUAUCUCCUAUGAUGAUGUAGUAAGAUUGCAUGAAAUUUUUAGCUGCGAGAGAUCAACUUGUCCAAGGAAGAACAUGAAAUUGUUUCAGAAUUAGAGAACACUCAGCUCAGAAGUCAGAUAUACAAGUAUUGAGAAAGUUAGUGUUAGGGUAUUUUGGUCUAAUAUUUGGGACGAUUUUAUUGUGACAAUACAAGUUGGGAAGGAGUUUAAAUAUUGUGAGAAAAACCGCAUGAUGCAGUUCCUUAGGUGCUUGAACUUGCAUUAUUAGGGCCAUUUGAUAGGCAGUGGCUAGGUUCCUCAUCAGUAGAAGUUAGCCAAGUCUGUUAUAAUGCUGGACUUGACAAUAAUAUAAAUUGAAACAGUGAAACUUAAACUUGAUGCUUUGUCAACAAGAGAGGGCAGCCUGAACUUUCUUACCUCUAUAAAAAAUUAUCAGUAGUAUUCUUGAUGUGUGCUGGGAACUUUAUACUCUUAACUGGAUCUAUGCAGUUGUAGAGAAGUAUAGAUGUAAUGAGAUGUCUGAUAAAGUUUUGUUGGAAUUUGAAGUGUCAUAGACUCUUGAUAUCUAUAUUUUAAUUAUUCACAUGCUCCUUGUUGCAAGAAGAUGAGUGAUCUUCUAAGAAAUAGGUUAGUGCUCGUGAGGUUUAUUGCUUAUAAUGGGAACCACAAUAGAACAGUGCUGAAAAUGCAUGCAAUUGGGGAGUGAAAGCAAUCCACUUUCCGGCUGAAGAAAUCAUUUAGGAAAAUCUUGAUUAUCUAUGAUAUAUUAUAAUAAUUUUUUUUUUUAAUGUGAUUAAAUAUCAUAAAGUGUUCAACAAGAAAGCAAAACAAUAAAAGAAUAUAAAUUAUUUCUACUAAUUAAUUAUGUUGAAUAUUAAUGUGAUUGCAUAUUAUGCAAUGAUUCAAAAAAUGAAAAUAUUGAAAAAUCAUUGUAUCACAUUGGUUGGGAAAUAAAUAUGCUCCAUUUGCUUGAAUUUCAUUUAAGGUGUCAGGAAACUCUACUUGGUUUCUAUUUUUUUUUUGAGAAUUCUUUCUGUUACAUUAAUGAAGUCAUAAGGGCCUCUUGGAUUUUAUUUUAAACAAAUAAAAUCAAUACUGUGUUUUCUAUAUUUUUUCAAUCAAAAUUUUUAGGCCUCUCUAGUUUUUCAAUCAAAAUUUUUAGGCCUCUCUAGUUUUUUCUCAUCAAUCAUUGGGAGUGAUGCUUUCUUCCUGCAGCUUUCACAAGGUUUGUUUUUUUUACUGAUUUCUACAAAGUUAUUGUGUGUAUCUUUCACUAGGAUCAAUCUAACAUGUUCACUCUUUAUCACUAGGAUCAAUCUAACAUGUUCACUCUUUAUCAGACCACAUUCAGAGGUCGAGUUUUCAUGACUCAUGCAACAAAGGCUAUCUACAAGUUGCUUUUGACUGAUUAUGUAAAAGUGAGCAAGGUUUCAGUGGAAGAUAUGUUGUUUGAUGAGAAAGACAUAAACCGCUCAAUGGAUAAAAUCGAGGUCUGUGUUUAUGAAUUUUUGCAUUCUCUUGUUUACAUCUAUCCGCAUCCUUUUUGUUCUUCCAGAAACUUGAUCCACUUCGUUUACCUUCCUUCUAAGCAAUAGCUUGGAAAAAUUUUUGUUUAUUAUAUUUGGCUUGGCAUUAUGUUGUGGCCCCAAAGUCAGGGGCUCAGGAAUUCAGCUUAUUGGUUAUUCUUCUUUAUCACCUCCUAUCCAUGUUGAAUUAAUUGCUCUAGAUGAAAGGUCUGCGUCUUCUGGAAUUUAAAGUGUUUCAAUCUUACAUUUGGUGUUGUGAAUUUUGCUGUCUAUGGAUUUCUUAGCUUUCAUUCUGUUUGAGUUUGGCAUUGUUAGUUGUUGGCUUCUCAUUUGAGGUUUGCAUGUUUCGCUUGGAAACUUAGGACCAAUUUAUAUGCAUCUGAUAAUUAAGUUAUGCCUUUCUUUUUCCAGUAGUGAUCAAUCUAAGUUGAUUCCACACUUAAGUUGCAUUUGGAAUACUCUAUUGCCUGAUUAAUCAAAGAGCAUAUUCAAGUAGUUGUGGUUGACAGCCAUGUAUCUUUUUUGAACUAUGAGAGUUUGGGUCAUAUUACAGCGAGUGCCAUCUCACUCUCUAUCUUCCUGCACAUGUAAGAUUUUAGUGAUUAGUAAUAAGAUAACAGUAAUUCAACAACAAAAAAAAAAAGAUAAAGAUAAAGAUAAAGGAAAAUUUUAUAAGCCAAGUGGGAACCUUCUGGUAGGCAUACAGGGCCCCUGCCCUAGUACAGUUAAGCAGAAAGGUUUGGUAACAACUGGAUGAAAAUUUAUUUAUUUUUUCCCUUGUUUGUUCGAAGAAAGGGUGCUUGUUCCAAAAUGGUAGUUGCUUAUCUUUUUCUCAAUAUAGCAUCUCUUUUGGUAAGCAUUAUGCUAUGCUUGCCAUUUUAAGUUGAUAAAUCUGUCCGUGACCGAUCCAUAUGAGGUAAUGUUUGGGCUGAUUAAAAGAUGUUUUCACAAUUAUGAAAUAAUAAUAAAAAGUAUUUAAGUUUUGGUAGCAUUCUGAAAAUACAAUCCUAUGGAGCCAAUUCAAAGCGAGGAUUUCUUUUUUCUUUUGAUUUUAUUUCCAUCCUGUAGCACAAUCAUGAUCCAUGAGUGCAAGUGGUCAAAACCAUUGAGAGAUUGCAGAGGGAAAGAGAGGAUAUCACUUUUAUAUAUUUUUCUUUUCAUACAUGGACUGUUAAUUCUAAUCCCUGACACUUUUGUCAAGGUUGGGUGCAUGUGUUUGCAUUUUUGUCUUUUUUUGUGAGCAGAUCUGCUGGUGUUUGCCAGGUCUUAUUUUCCUUAUGAUGGCCUAGCUUGUAAUCUUCCUUUGUCAUCCUCUGUUUAACUUAAGAAUCCUUAAUUUCAUUAAUGAUUUUUGUAAUUGCAGGUUAUUGACUUCCAUCAGACUGUGGAUGUUAAUGGCAUUAAAUUUUGGUGCUACACUGCUGGCCAUGUCCUUGGGGCUGCCAUGUUCAUGGUAGAUAUUGCCGGUGUUCGAGUGCUGUAUACUGGAGACUAUUCGCGUGAAGAAGAUCGGCAUCUUCGUGCUGCUGAGAUGCCACAAUUCUCUCCAGACAUAUGCAUAAUUGAAUCUACCUAUGGUGUCCAACUCCAUCAACCUCGACACAUUCGGGAGAAGCGCUUCACUGAUGUUAUCCACUCCACCAUCUCUCUAGGUGGUCGUGUUCUAAUUCCAGCAUUUGCCCUUGGCCGAGCUCAAGAACUCCUUUUGAUCCUUGAUGAGUAUUGGUCAAACCAUCCCGAGCUUCAUAACAUUCCCGUAUAUUAUGCUUCUCCCCUUGCGAAAAAGUGUAUGACUGUUUACCAGACAUACAUCCUUUCUAUGAAUGAAAGGAUCCGCAAUCAGUUUGCGGAUUCAAACCCCUUCAAAUUCAAGCAUAUAUCACCGUUAAAUAGCAUUGAAGAUUUUACUGAUGUAGGGCCAUCUGUGGUUAUGGCAACUCCUGGAGGACUGCAGAGCGGUUUGUCAAGGCAGUUGUUUGAUAUGUGGUGCUCUGAUAAGAAAAAUGCUUGUGUUAUACCUGGAUUUCUUGUUGAAGGGACCUUAGCUAAGACAAUCAUUAAUGAACCAAAGGAGGUACAGCUCAUGAAUGGACUGACUGCACCACUCAACAUGCAGGUCCAUUACAUCUCGUUCUCUGCCCAUGCAGAUUAUGCUCAGACAAGUACAUUUUUGAAAGAGCUCAUGCCUCCUAACAUUAUUCUUGUUCAUGGAGAAGCCAAUGAAAUGGGAAGGCUCAAACAGAAACUUAUCACAGAGUUUACUGACGGCAACACCAAGAUAAUCACCCCAAAGAAUUGCCAGUCUGUUGAGAUGUAUUUCAACUCUGAAAAAAUGGCAAAAACCACUGGAAAGCUGGCUGAAAGGACCCCGGAUGUUGGUGAAACUGUCAGUGGUAUACUGGUGAAGAAGGGCUUCACUUAUCAAAUCAUGGCACCUGAAGAUCUCCAUGUCUUCUCACAACUAUCAACUGGAAAUAUUACUCAGAGGAUUACCAUUCCUUUUUCCGGUGCAUUUGGUGUGAUAAAGCACAGGCUUGAGCAGAUUUAUGAGAGUGUGGAGUCUGGAACUGACGAGGAGUCUGGG